Molecule: long non-coding RNA, 216 nt
Filed under: Musa acuminata (dwarf banana)
Lineage: Eukaryota; Viridiplantae; Streptophyta; Magnoliopsida; Zingiberales; Musaceae
Description: long non-coding RNA (MACU_LNC005945)
Source: RNAcentral
AGCAACCAUUUGAGUAUUCAUGUGAAAGAUUGAUGCAACUUGGAAGUACCAAUCUCACUAGUUAUCACCAACAAGAACAAGCCCCACUCUAAACUGAUGAAAUCAUUCUGCAUCUCUGACAAUGCUCUCGAAUUCCCCUUUCCAUGUUCUCCAAUAACACAAGCACAAAAGAACUUGGGAGAUAGGAGAACACUGAAUUCAUCAUACAAGAAAAAC